Prinia subflava (tawny-flanked prinia) is the source of this 272-nucleotide long non-coding RNA. RefSeq lists it as uncharacterized. The transcript has 4 exons. Lineage: Eukaryota; Metazoa; Chordata; Aves; Passeriformes; Cisticolidae. The record is from RefSeq and is a predicted model, not a curated record.
AGGCACUCCUGGAAGGAACCCAGGAUGAUCUGAGGGAGCUGGACUUGGGCAAGGUCGAGAUCCCGGAGCCGACCGUGGUCGCGCUUGGUCAAAACCUGCGGGUGCGCCAGCUCCUGCGGCAGAAGCGCCUGGCGGCCUCUCUGGAUGCCUAGGGUCGGCAGCAUCGGUGCCGUCCGUGUCCUGUCCACCUCCGGCGGCACGAGGAGAUGAUCGUCCCUGGAGGAGCCCCCCGAUCCCCUUUGAGCCCGGGGCCGUUUCCCCUCAAUAAUCAA